Molecule: non-coding RNA, 7609 nt
Organism: Equus caballus (horse)
Lineage: Eukaryota; Metazoa; Chordata; Mammalia; Perissodactyla; Equidae
Source: RefSeq, a predicted model, not a curated record
AUGGAGAAAUUGGAACUGUUGUUCAUUGCUGAUGGGAAUAUAAAGUGGUGCAGCCACUGUGAAAGACAGUAAGACAGUUCCUCAAAAAAUUAAACAAUUAUCAUAGGAUCUGGUACUUCCACUUCUCAAUAUAUAUACAAAAGAAUUUAAAGCAGAAACUUGAACAGAUAUAUAGCCAUAGCAGCAUAUAUUCACAAUAGCCAAAAGGUGGAAACAACCGAAUGUCCAUUGAUAGAUGAAUGGAUACACACAAUGGUACAUACAUACAAUCAAAUAUUAUUUACCCUUAAAAAGAAUUAACUUUUGACACAUGCUAAAACAUGGAUAAACUUGGAAGACAUUAUGCUAAGUGGAGUAAGCCAGGCACAAAAGGACAACUAUUGCAUGAUCCCCCUUUAUGAGGUCCCUAGAACAGUCAAAUUCGUAGAGACAGAAAGUAAAACAAUGGUUACCAGGGACUAGGGUAAGGAGGAAUUGGAAAGUUAUUGUUUAAUGCGUACAGAGUUCAGUUUCGGAUGAUGGAACAGUUCUGGAUAUGGAUAAUGGUCAGGUUUGCACAACAAGAUGAAUGUUCUUAAUGCCACUGAAUGUAUACUUAAAAUGGUAGAUUUUAUGGUAUGUGUAUUUUACCACAUUAAAAAAAAAGAUAUGCAGACUCCAAGAGGUGUUCUACUGGGAGAACAUUAGCCAGAGAAAUAGUUUUCAGGGUAUAUUUUAAGUUAUGUGUAAGUUGUUGAGUGAAUUAAUAAGAUUCUUUAAUUUUUUUUCCCUUACAUCUUGGGAGAGAUCAGAGUGAGAGAUUGGAACAAGGGAGAGAAGGAAAACAAAACAAAAGAUAAUUUCAGGUUUCUAGGAGCAGACAGAGAAAAUUAAACAAAGGAAGGCACCAUUAACAAGGAGAGUCUCCUGAGGGUUUAGGACGCCCGUUUUAAGUAGGAGUGAGCGUGUUGGACCUUCUCCGCGUUGAGCCUGCAGUCGCCAUGGAGCUGUGUACAGGACCUGGGAAAGGAGCCGGUGCUACCCAGGCAGAAGGAGGCUCCCAGAGUGUGAAGCCAGCCAGGCAGGGCUAGGCCCAGGUAGGUGAUUGAGCUGCAGGUAAGACCUUCGGUCCUUCCACCAGAGCUGUUGGGCCAAGUCCUGGUGGCCACUGUGCUCCUCUGUGAGCCUUGCAGUGCUCAGACCUGACUGCCAAUUCCUUCCACUAGAGGGAGUUUUUGAAAACGGCCCCCAGAGGUAGUGCUUCUAAUCAUUUGCCUUUGCCUUCAUUCCUGUACCUCUCUGUUCCCUUUUCCAGAUUUCCAGUGUUCUUUCUAGAAGCCUUGUUGCCCACAUGCUGCACUUUCAGAGUGACAGCUAUGUCAACAUGCCCUUCAGUGUCUUUCCUGGGUAUAAACCUCACCUCAGUGUCUCUCCUGGAUAUAAAGCUUAUAAUGCCAAUGUUACAGGUUUUCUGCUUCCUCUAGACUCAGUGUUAUUCAGCGUGUUUUCUCUGAAAGAGUGUUUUAUAGUGCUCUUCAUAUCUGUUAGCUUAGAUCUGUGUGUACUCAUAAUUUAAAACACACCGUGUGUUUACGUCUUUUUCCUGAACCGUUGAGAGAGUUGCAGGCACGAUGGCCCCCAUCCCUAAAUACUUCAGUGUGUAUUUUCUAAAACUAAAUACAUUUUCUUCCAUAACCAGACGGAACUUAUUGGAAUCAGGAAAUUAACGUUGAUGAAGUACUAUUGUCUAAUCUACAGAAGUUAUUCAGAUUUUACAAAUUAUCCAACAAUGUCCAUUAGAGCAAAAGAAGCAGUAGAUGAUGUGUUGCAGUCAGCUGUCAUGAUGCUUGGUCUCCUUCGGUCUGUAACUUUCCUCAGUUUUUCUUUGCUUUUCAUGAUAUUGACAUUUUUGAAAGGUACAAGCCAGGUAUUUUGUAGCUGCUCCUUGAUUUGAAUUUGUCUAAUUUUCCCUUACUAUAAGUUAUACAUUUCUUGGGCAGGGGAAGUGGAGGACCACAGAAGUGCUGUGUUAUAGUAUCUUAUAUUUAUAUUCUCAUGUUUAUAUUGUUAUAUUUAUUUUCUUAUAUUUUAUAGCUACAUAAAGUAUAUAGGUACAUAUUAUAGACAUAUACAUAGGUGUGUUUUUAUAUCUUUCUGUUUUUUAAUCCUCUUAGGAUUUUGUCUUUUCUAAUUGAGGUUCUGAAAUUUCGUUGUAAAUUUCUUCAGGUUUUUUCCUCCUCCUCCUGCUGGAUACUAGGUGGCUCUUCCAAUUUCAGAAUGUCUUUAUUGUUGGAAAAGUACCAGCUAUAUUUUACAAAGAUGCCUCUCCUUCAUUCUUUUGCUUUUCUCUGAGAAUUCCUUUCAUUUGCAAGAAUGCUGAUGUAUUUGAUUUUAUUUGUACUGUCUGUUCUGUCAUUUCUAAAGUUUAGUGUGAGAGGAAGCCAUUCACAACCAGAAACUCUAUUUUUUUUUUUUUUUUUUGCAUGCCAUUAUGCUUCUCUAGUUUCCUUCCAUUUGUGGUCAUGUCAGUAAGUAAAAUGAUCCAAAGUUGACCCCGUUUCUACCAGUGUGAAAUAGCUUUGUGCACAGUGCUGGAAGCUAAAACGUACUAACCAUGGUCUUUGAAACUCUAAACAUUAUUAAUGUCCCUUUGAAAAAGAGCUUUUCCCCACAAGGGUGAAAGACAUGUUAAAUUGGUACUUCUCAACAGAUGUGUAGGGAGGUUGUUGGUAUAAAAACUAAGGUUUGGGAUCAGCGUGGAAAUAUUAGAAAUGAUGGGCCAGUAAACACUUCUAGGUUCUUCCGGUGAAUUCCAGCAGGAUAAAGUUUUUUUGCCCAGACACUACAGCAGAACAAGGGAAAGAACAGAGAAGAAGAGAUCCUGAAAUUCCAGUGCUGGAAUUCAUCCACUCAACCCGGUCAACUCCAUCUUGAAACUCUACCCUGUGGAUUCGUUUCAUGAAUGAUGACCCCAAGACCAAAGACCAGGGAAUCCUCAAAGAAGGAGAUGAAAUUCUCCAAGGACACGUGAUCAAGGACCCAGUAGAGAGGCGACGUGAAGAGCUGCCGUACCUGUGUGAGCUCGUGUCUGCACCCAGCUAAUGGGGAAUGGUGAAGCCACUAGAGGGAAAGUUUUAGGACAAAAAUGACGUUUUCUAUAGAAAGCAGCUGAAGCAUUUUAAGAGAUGGAUGAAAACAAGGGAGCUCUCGAGUAUAAUUGUGAAGGAGAUUCUUAAGCUAAAUCUAAGUGAUUAAAGAAAUUUUAUGACUAGAUUUCUGUAGUGCACCUUCAUCAGCAUGUGUGCUGUUUUAAUCUGAAAUAGGAGCUGAGAUCAUGGGGUUGGGUGACCCCUUACUUCGGACAGUCCCCUCCCACAGCUUCUCGCUUGUGAAUUUUGUCAGGCUCCACAAAUGGGGAGACGUCCAGUAAAUGACCCCACCACUUGAACAGAAAGCCCUUUGUGAUGGUCUUAAUCCACGGGGUGACCUCCUCCUGUUCCUAGGCUGCCCUGUCCAGGAGGACCCCCAUCUCCUCCCAGGUCAUGUAGCAGUAAUGUUGGACCCCCCUGGGGUCUAGGUUCACCAUGAGGUUUUUCCUCACAAACAGAAGAUAGCCAAUUUUAUGGUCCCGCCAGACAUUAUUCAAUGGACUCUUGUGGUAAAUUCGGGUCAUAAAAAUUAUAUCCUUUAUGGAAAGCUGUGACAAAAGUUGAUCUGUGUUAAUUCAAACACAAGGAAAAUACGUUGGAGAGAGAAUUCAAAUUCAUUCUUUUUUUCAUUAAAAAAAUAUAUACAGUGCAUCCACUGAGUGCCACUCACUCAUUUUUCACUGGGGAGACCAAAUUAAAGAAAGCACAGUUUUAUAGCCUUGAAAAUUCAUUUUGUUGUGCACCCAAUGGGAUAAUUAUAUGGACACAAUUGAAAUAUGAAAAGUGCUAUAAGUAACUGAUAAGCGUAUUUCUGUGGGGCACAUACACCCUGAUUUCAUAAACAAAAGUCGUAUUUUAUCUGUAAAUACCAUGUAAGGGAUUUCUGUGUUCAUAGAUUGUGAAUCGGGUUUUCAUAGGUUUCAUGAGAAGGCUCUACCUCUGAUUCUUAUCUAACUCAGCAUCACUUAUUAAGUAACAACCAAUGUUCAGAUUCUUCGCUUUCACCUAUCCUCAUGUUGUAAAAACAGAGAAUGCAUCAUAGAAAUCCACACACAAUUUUCUAAAUUUGCACCCAAAGUUUAUUUUCUUUCCUGGAGUUUUGAUUGGAGGUAAGAAUUUGAGUAACUAACACAGUUGUGUAGAAAGAUUUAGAAGACAAGAUGCAGGGUACCUGUUCCAUAGGGAUUCCCGGCCCAGCCUGCAGAUGUCUCACGGCUGCCCUACUCACUCCCAAGGCGUCUUUUUCUUCCAGAGCAAUCUUCGGGAUUGCUUAGGGAGUGACCAGAGCAGGAGCCAAUGAAAUACCCUGGAAAGCAUGGAUAAAGUGCCUACUUUAUUGGAAAUUUUUUUAACUAAACAGGAUAAUUCCCUUCCUAAUCCCCAUUUAGUGGAUAAAAUAGAUUUAAUUCUGAAUUAUCACCUUAUUAUCAAUUCAACUUUUCAAAUCUUGGUCAAAUAUUAUUCACAUUAAAGUCUCAAUUCCUUUGAACUACAAAAUCUUUUCACUGCCCCCAAAUUUGCAUUUCUGAGACAAAUGGGUCUCUUCACUUCCCUGAAAAAAUUCCAGUUUGUCAAUGCUGGUAAUGUGGUGUCCUUCCAUUGUCUGUUGGAGUGGGACUGAGAUUUCCUGAGAGAGCUUUGGGUGGGUUUGCUGACUAGUCAACCCUCCGUGUGCUCCCACAGGACAGGUCAGAAGUCAGCAGGCUUUUAGGUUUCAUCUGACAAGCUUCACCGGGAAACAUGUACGUAGUCAGAUCUCUGCUGUAUGAGGAGCUGGUCUUGCUGGUUGAACAGGAUGACACUGAAGCGUCAGUGUAACAGCCCUACAGAGUGGGUGUGUGUUGGUUAAAACACAGCCGCUGUGCAUGUGAAGUCUAUGGAAGCGGUCCCCUCUGCCCCGUCGCAUCCUCUCACUCAGCUCAGGACUUGAACAGCAGCAGCAUCUCACCUUGGCUUCGUUGCAUUAUACUCCAGGUGCUAUACGCUUUGUCUGUUCAUCUGGUACUCAUGGCCUCACUUUGAGGGCAGCACUAUUAUUUCCCCUAUUUAUAAAAAAGGAAACUGGAGGGUAAAGAACUGAGCAUCCAUACCAGGAACACAGGUCUAGGAUUUGGACCCAACCAACCAAGUGUAAACCUGGUCCUCAGGACCCACAGUUGUUGCGGUGACAGGCUGACCAGGUGGGCAGAGGGAGAACCUGGUGGGGCCAAGUGACCUCUCAGGCUCUGGCCUUGUGGUGACCCUUGACACGGACAGAGCUCACAGUCAGGGUAUAAUGGUCCUGACUUUUCUUCAAAGCUGUAUGAAGGGAGAAGCACCACACACGUAAACUGUCUGCUGCUCAGUGACAUUUUCUCACAUGCUUCCUCGGUGCACUUGGCAAGUUUGGGAAUAGCCGAUGUGACAGAUCCUGAACACAGACAAGAACCUCUUUCCGCCUUACCCUUUUCAAUUUUUCAAUCAGGUGGCAGUUCCUCUUUGUUUUGUAUCCAGUGACCUGAUCAUUCUCAUCAGUGAUGGUGCAACUCUCCUCCAGCCGCAGUGUCUGGAACUCAUCAAGGUGACCUAGGCGGACAUACCUGCAAACAGGGUUUUUUGUCAAUCAGUAAACCCCUGUAAAUCAGACUCAUAAACCAAAGGGUUUUGGAAAUCUCUGACACUGGAAAGCUGACAAGUAGAGAAUAAAAAGGAUAAAGUUCUCAUCUCUACAGAAGUGAGAAAAAAACAACCCACCUCUGUGGACUUCAUUCAUCAUUACCACAGUCUGUAUCUCCUUUUAUUUUUUCUAUUUAUGUUUAACUUUGUCUUAUUCCAAGAAGCAUUGUAGGCAAUAUAUGAGAAUUGGAGAAAUGCAAGAUUCUAAUGCUACCCUGUAGGGCCUGGGCCUUGCUUGCUCAGCAAAAGCCCCCAGGCCCAUUGCAACCAUGUGUCCUUCUGGCUUCCUGCUGGGCAGGGAGCCCAGCUGCUGGGAUUUGUAACGAUCUGGGCCUGGCCAGCCUGGAUCCCCCCUUAUCCCACGAGAAGAACAUCGAGUCUUACAGGAAGACAGAGCCCCUCCACGUGAGCUACUGUUCCUGGGAACACUGGUCGUACCAAGGACAGCCCUAUGGCAAGCAUGCAGCCUUUGUUUCUCUGCUUACUUAAGCAAACUUCUCUUAGGGGGCGGUUGCAGGUGCACACUUCUGUCCAGCCAGCUGCCACUGGACACUCCUGUAAGUAGGACCCAGUAAACCUAUAUGUCUCGUUCACAGUCUCCGGGUCAUUUCUUUGGUCUCUCGGUGCGAUAUCCUGCCACCUUAGCCCAGCUGGGCUUGCGGCCUAACAUACCCAGUAUCAGUUAAGAGGGGAAUAUUUGUCUUAGGAUAAUGAGGAAGGAAAUGAGAGAACAUGGGUUAUGGCCAGUUGCCAAAAGAAAGCAGUGAUGGAAAAUGCAAAAACAAAAUAGCCUUGACCAAAAUGAGAGUAACUGGAAAACAAAAAUAUAUGCACUCACCAUUCCUACAGAUUAGGGUUCACUGUAUGCCAAAUAUUUCUGAAAUCAAAAUAUAGAAUGCCGAGACCACUUCUGGGCCUGAGUGUCUUUUUAUAUCUUUUGGCCAUGUGUGUACAUGUGCAUCUGCACAUGUGUUUGUCUUCUCUUUGGGUUGAGACAUUCUCAAAUAUUGGCAGGUUAACAAAAAUACAUACUGAUCUUCAGAAGUCAAGGGGAGUGAUGACAUUUAUGUUUUUACCUCAUGGAGUGGCAUCAAAUUAACUAAGAUUAUGCAUGAAAUGACUGGGAUUCUGAUACUGGACUGCACACAUUUCUCACUUGAUUAUAGCUGGGAUGUGGUUGAAUGGUUUGGAAAGUUUGAUCCUUUCAGGUAUUGCUUUUAGGAUGUUAGGUGAGACUAAAGCAGUCCUAAAUCUAGACUAAUUAUUCUACUGAGGCUAGACACUUCUGAAUGUCUCCCCAUUGGCGCACGAACCAUGACACUUUCCAUUCUGGCUAGUGGCAGGAGGCAGUCUGCAGGAGUGCCGGGCACCGUUCCCUCUGAUCCUUUAGUUGGCUUUUCCCUUCAUGUGCAUGUGCCAGCCACCCUCAGCUGAACCCUUGAGGAGCGACAUGUCUCCGGAGUUCUCCUAUAUCAGAAAUGACGUUGAGCUGAACAUGUGUGAGAAACUGUUUACAAUAUAAGAAAAUUUUAUAAUUUCGUAAUUAUAGUAAAAGAUUUAACUCAUUUCUUUCAGAGACGUGCAAAUCAAGAGGAUAAAAAAAUAAGACUACUGAGAAUUUGAACAACACAUUUGACCAAAUAUACACCUUUAUAUAAUAAAGAGAAGACAUAUAUUACCAUAGAAAUCCAGAAAAGUUGACACAUUCAGCUCAGUUUAGGUCAUAAAGAAAUGAUAGCUAAUAGUAGCCAAAAAACAAUCUGAUUUAAAAAUGGGCAGAGGAUCUGAAUAGAUAUUUUUGCAAAGAAGACAUACAGAUGGCCCAC